UAAUACCUGCAGCUCAAGUGGUGGCCACUAUUAUUGAGCCUAAAGCGUCCGUAGCCGGACCUGUAAAUCCCUGGGUAAAUCCUAUCGCUUAACGGUAGGAAUUUCGGGGAGACUGCAGGUCUUGGGACCGGGAGAGGCCAAAGGUACUCUCGGGGUAGCAGUGAAAUGCUGUAAUCCCGAGGGGACCACCUGUGGCGAAGGCGUUUGGCUUGAACGGCUCCGACGGUGAGGGACGAAGGCCAGGGGAGCGAACCGGAUUAGAUACCCGGGUAGUCCUGGCUGUAAACGCUGCCCGCUUGGUGUUGUCCUUCUUUUGGGGGAGGGCAGUGCCGGAGCGAAGGUAUUAAGCGGGCCGCUUGGGGAGUACAGCCGCAAGGCUGAAACUUAAGGAAUUGGCGGGGGAGCACAGCAACGGGAGGAGCGUGCGGUUU
This 431-nucleotide ribosomal RNA is filed under the name uncultured archaeon. Its description in RNAcentral is "bacterial SSU rRNA". It matches the Rfam family "Archaeal small subunit ribosomal RNA", at positions 471 to 903 of the family's 1478-position model. The record is from RNAcentral.